Molecule: long non-coding RNA, 1814 nt
Filed under: Calidris pugnax (ruff)
Lineage: Eukaryota; Metazoa; Chordata; Aves; Charadriiformes; Scolopacidae
Description: lncRNA (ENSCPUG00000006789.1)
Source: RNAcentral
AUGUGCAAAGCUGAGAUACUCGCUGUUGAGAUGCUGCAGAAACAAGCGAUGUCAUGUUUCUGUUCCCUACUAGACAUCAGAAGUUCCCUGUUAUUAAAAAAAAUAGACAGUAUUGUAUUAUGUGGUGCUGCACUCUGGACUUGGCAUGUGAGAGGGUGCUGCUUUCCCCUGUUCUGCAGGUACAGGGGUACCCAGGCUCGGAAGCCCUUAGGGCCCUUCGUUGUUGACUUUGUGGGGCAGCGUAGGAGCAGCAGAACAAUUUUUGGUGUACACAUCAGAAGUGUUUCUGAAAUGAGAAUAUAACACUAUACUGAAUGCAUGUUACUUAUAUCCAAGCUGAGUAACAACCCUCAUUAAAAUUAGUAUUUAUGGUUUUCUAAAGAAAGGCUAUGAAUAGGAAAAGAUAAUUAGUUUUUAAAAAAGAAUCCGUGUAUUUUAGGAUCCAUCACACUAAAUGAAGCAAGAUUCCAGCCCAUCACUUAAAUAGUAGUUCAGGUCAUAGAACUGUAGAAUGUUUUUGGGUUAGAAAGGACCUUAAAGAUCACCUCAUUCCAACCCCCUGCCCUGGGCAGGGACACCUCCUACUAGACCAGGUUGCUCAAAGCCCCAUCCAGCCUGGCCUUGAACACUUUUAGGGAUCAUCACAGGUCAUCAAGUUUAUCUUUGUGGUUCUAAAUUUCAACACAAAAUUAAAUAGUCCCAAUAAGGACAGAAAUCCCUUUAAAGCCACUGAUCUCUUGCACACAAAAAAAUCACUUCAUGUGAAUGUCUGAGAACGAGAGUGCACAAACAGGAACCCUUGAAGCCAUUUGGAAAGAUGGGAAAAAUACCACCGAAAGGCAGGGAGCACUGCUCACAGCUCUCAUUCCAGGACAGGGAGCCAUGUGAGGGGAAAGGUGUUGAGGUUACUGGCUGGUGCUGCUGUGUCUAGUCCCCGCUCCCUGGUACCUGCUGCCUCCCCCAGUUCCUCAGGGCUUCAACUGGUCCUUCCCAGUGCUCUGCCCCUGAGGUCACCAAUGGUUUGCCUGAGGCGUAGGCUCCUUCCCAUCUCCCCACGCUCUGUGAGCCCUGCGAUGUCAGCUGCAGCCUCGCUGCAUUCAUCGGGGCCGUGCAGGGUGUCCAGAGGACAACAGGGAGAGUCCAGGAUGCCCCUCCAUGAAUCAUGAAGGCUUCCUUCUACUUCAUUCCAUAAAUUCUAUUAUUUUUUUUAAGCAAGCAUUAACUCCCUCCACAGCAAACACCGCGUUUGCACCGACGCACCCACUAGAGAGGCAAUUAGGUGACUUGUACACAGCGAGAGGAAGAGAGGUAAUGGGAACAGCACAGAGAGGCAAGAAAAUUACCCAAAAAGCAGCAAGCUGCCAACCCGAGUAACUGUAACACCCCCUGCUGCCAUCGCUCACAGAGCUAGAGCCUGGGUGAACCCAAGAGCCUCCCCCAUUUACAGCUGAGAGAGAACCUCAGGGUGAUUAAACCCGCUAAACGAGCGGCUGUACUCUGGAAAGCAGAGUCCUCUCUGCACCCUCCGUCCCAAUUGUUUGUUGUCUUCUCCAUUUGCUUUAUUGUUUGGUAAACCAGCACUUACAAUCACUUUUGCUACGUGAUGUACGGGAGUAUAUAGUAUAUUUUCUUGUUAUACAAGGGAGGAGUAUAAAAUAGUUUUCUGAUUUCUUUCAGAAGCAAAUGACUAUUUUAUUUUUUAAGAGCAAUUGAUUGUGAAUCUCAGAGUAUAAAAAAAAGAUAAAUAAGCCAAAUAUAUACCUUUAUGUAAAUUAAGAAAUAAAAAGUAUUUAAAACAUACCUUUCUUGUGUCU